Monodelphis domestica (gray short-tailed opossum) is the source of this 5569-nucleotide long non-coding RNA. RefSeq lists it as uncharacterized. NCBI's taxonomy places the organism in Eukaryota, Metazoa, Chordata, Mammalia, Didelphimorphia, Didelphidae. The record is from RefSeq and is a predicted model, not a curated record.
CCUCCCUCGCGGAAACGUGGCCCUUGCUCUGGCUGGUGUGGCUCGUGGCAGCGUGCUGGGCAUCCUGGCAGUUUGGCGGGUUGCAGCUUGCAGAUCUACAGGACUUUACACAAAUUUACAAAGCCUUCCACAUCCUCGUUCUGGUUUGAGCUUCGCAGCAGCUCAGAAAGGCAGGCAGGACAGGACAGGAUUAUGGUCUCCUAUGAUAUCCCAGGAUAACUCUUGAAAUACUGCAUUCUCCAGGUUAAACAUCUCCGUUGCUUCACCCAAUCCAACAGCAUGAUCUAAAGGCCUUUUACAGUUCCAGUCACCCUCUUCUAGAUGCCUUCUACCUUAUCCAGGUUCUUCCUAAAAGGUGAUUUUUGAUCCAGUUCAGAACUGAAUGAAACAUUCUAAAUGAGGCAAGUCCAAGAAAGAGUAUAUUGGGACUCUUACCUCCCUUGGUCUGGAGUCUUUGUUUCUCCUAAUGUAGCCUGAGAUCAUAUUUGCUUUUUUGGCUGCCAUAUCACACUUCUGAUUCAUGGAGCCUUCGAUUCCCUCAGAUUCCUGGGUUGUUUUUUUUUUCAGACAAAUUGCCAUCAAGCUCUACCUAGCCUUUCCUAUACUUGUGAAAUUGAAUUUUUCAAUCCUUGUUUUAGAUUUUAUAUUUAUUUUCGUUAGGUUUCUCCUUAGUAGAUUUGCCUUAUUAUUCUAGCUAGAGAUAUUUCUUUCUUCUUCAUUACAUAGAGGAAAAGACCAAAGUCUGGAGAGGUAGCAAUUAUUUUUCCUCUUUGCAAUUUUAUCUUGAGUCCAGUCUGUGGACAUGAAGACAAAUGAUUUCUGUGGACAUAUGGAAUACAGAUGGCCAGCCGGAAAGUGCCAUGGACAUAUAGCAUCUGACCAAAAGGUGAAGGGCCAUCUAUUCAAAGGUUUGUAUUCUGUCUUCUCUGAAGGGGAAACUGCUCACUUUCAUUCUUUUUGAGACAGGCUUCUUGGGAUCCUCUAAGAGUUUUAAAAUAGCUAGAGCUUUCUCAACUCCAUCCAGUGAAGCUUGCUAGCAAACCCAAGAACACACAAACCCGUAGCCAGGACUGGCAAGAUUUUCUGAAGAACACUACUUUAUUUAAGCAAACUAGACAUUCGUGAAGUAGCACUAAGAAGUUGAUCUGAGAGUCUUCUUUCAUUCAACAUAUAUGUAUGAGGCAAAGCCCUAGGUUACAGGGCAGUCAUGAUACAGUCAAUGAGUGAAUGAGUGAAUGAAUGAAUGAAUGAAUAAAUGAAUGAAUGAAUGAAUGAAGUAUUUAUUUGUUAAACACUAACUAUGUGCAAAACACUAUGGAUUGGAUCCCAGCCCCACUACUAUCUGUGUAAUCUUAGGCAGGUCAUCUCAACCCUCUGAGCCUUAAUUUCCUAAUGUGUAAAAUGAAGGACUUGGACUAGAGUUCAAAUAUUCUUUAUAGUGCUAAAGCCUCUGAUCCAAAUUAUUUCUCCAAGGUCUCAUAGGUAUUCAGGACAUUAGAAGUAUGAAUUCAGGUCCUCUGACUUUAUAUAAAGUGUACUUUCCACUAUCCCUUGUUUCAACGGAGAUUGGAGAUUGAAGAAAUAGAGUGGGUAGAGACUUUACUCCCAAAGAUGUGGAGGAAGUCUUGGCCUACUAUUUGGGUAGAGAAAGUAUACUUUCCAUCGAGUGUUUGGGAUGCUUUUGAAGGCAAAUUGGAUGCCUACAGCUCCUUCCUCUCUCCCAUGGAUUGCCUAAGAACAGUACUACCUAUGAGGUACCUGAGCCAGUGAUAUGGCCACAGCUAGAAAUAGGAGAGCCAAAAUUCAGUCACAUCACUGAAACCUUCGUUUUUUCAGUUAGUCUCUUUUUAACCAAAAAGCUGUGAUCUCUCAUAAUUUUUUUUGAAAUGUGAUUAAUUUCCCCUUUCCAGUUUGCUUACCAAAUAUCAAUGUCAGUGGCUAAGUUUGAAGACAAGAUACUGACACAACUGAGGUAGUUGCCCUCCCUGAUGCAAUUCCCAUUCCCAGUGUGGAGAGAAAAGAGGUAGGAAGGGUGGAAAGGAUUGCUAACAAGGGCAUUUACAUUAGGGAAAACGGCAUACCAGACUAGGAAUGAGAGCCAAACUCUCAAGGACCCCUGAUCCUUUGAAGCAAUUGUGUUCUCCAUCCCCUUAGCCCAUUCUAGACCUCUAUAGGACUAGCCUUUCACUCAAAAUUUGCAAACUACAUUAUGUGCAAUUUAUUGAAAAUGGCAAUGAUGGCAUGGAAGCCUGGAGUCCAAAACCAAGAAAUUCCAUUUCUCUUGUAUCCUUAUGAGACAAAAUCCUAACUUUGGGAGUGAAAGCUCAAUUAGUGUCUCCUUUUUUUUUAGUUCAUGUUCUGUUGAUAAGAAAAUUCAAAAGGUCUCAAGCAGUCAUUUCACUCACCUAAGUUACACCUUAAGAUUCUUCCUUACAACUCUGGUUAUACCAGAGGAAUCAGUUGUCACCAGACAUAAAAUGUGAAAACAUGAUGUUCCUGUUGAGUGACCUUUGUGAUGCAGUUUAUUUCACCUUUCCCUUUUAAGAGAAGCUAUUAGUCUCAACUUUAUGUAGAAUUCAAAUUAUUGUUGUUUGAACAAUGUCCUAUAAAGGUGGAUUAAGAUUCUCAGGAGAGGACAGAUUUACCAUCGAAUUACUUUCGGGACUUUACAGGGAGGACCCAUUAGUUUAAAGUCCCAUCUUAACUAGCUGUACCUUUGCUAUUGUAGAGAACAUGGGAAAUCAGGAAAAGUUAAAGGUUUAUCUAGCACUUUGGGCAGUAUCAAAGCACUAAAAAAUGUCAUCUGAUAUUUAAACAGCCUUAAUAAAUUACAUGGAAUUUCUGAGGCCUUAGAUGGGUAACCCACUAUACUACUCAGGUUCUCUUUGCUCUUGUUUUAAAUAGGAACUCAAAUAUUUCUCCCUCCAGCAGUUCCAGGAUAGGCCCUCUUAUCAUGUGCUUGACAAAGCAGGUAAGUUUCAGCCAGGGCUCAGAUCGAAUUGGUCUGACUCCAAAUUCAAUUGUCUUUCCUAGAGCAUCCUGCACAGAGAGAUGGAGGAAGGAAGAAAAAAGGGAUUGUAACUGCUCAUAUUUCUAUCAUACUUUAUAUGUUUAUAGGGCACUCUUUCAGUUACAGCCUUUAAGGCAAGUAGUGUCAGUAAUAUUGUCUCCAGUUUUUAGAUGUGGAAACUCAGGCUAAGAGAAGCUGUGACUUGUAAAAACCUAGAAUUUAGGGCUAGAAGGGCCAGUAGAGAUCAUUCCCUCACUUUGGAUAGGAAAUUGAGACCCAGAGAAAGACAGUGACUUGCUCAGAGUCAUAUGAUAGAACCAAUAUUUGGACCCAGAUUCUUUGACUCUAGAACCAGAGCUUUUCCCCCUGUGUCACAAGGAAAAGAGAAGAAAGAGAGUAACCAAGGACUUAAAAUAGUGCUUCCAUGCCUACUUGGCCUCCUCCAUCACUGCAGGGUUGGAGCAAAGAGGCAGCUGGUAACUAUAUUGAACACUGGGUAGUUAGUCACACCAGUGCUGUGUUAAUUGAAUUACCUUUGACAGUGAAGAGCAAACCUAGUGGGCGAUCUCCUAAAGGAAAUUGAUGAAUGGGUUCCCGAAAAUCAAUUACCAUCUCGGUGGCAGUGAGCUGCUGCAGGGGCACAUCCCGCUGCUCUGUGGGGACCAGCAACUGUUUGGAGUGAUGGCAACAAAUGUGAGAUGGAGGGAAAGCACACAGCCCUGACCAUGGCUGCCCGACCUCUGCUGCCCAACAUGAAAGAAAAAACAGGAGUCAAACAGGAGCUGCAAGGAUGACAGUAAAUCACUGGAGCUCUGGCCUCAGCGUUGAUAUAGGAUGCUUUCCAAAUGCUUGAUUAAUCCUUGGCAGUAUAUUAAAAGGAGACACAGCAAAGUCGAUAGCUGGUCAUGAAGCUGAUACAGCACGACUGAUAGUGAGGGAACAUCUGCUAGCUCUCAUUCUGUUUGCCGAGAGGUUGGUAGUGAAUUCUUUGGGUGGGGGAUAGCACAGAGGAAAAUGAUCUGUUAGUAUGGGAUAUAUUCCUCUCCCUUCUUCUCUAGACGGUUGAUCAUUAGAACGGAUUUUCUUUCCCUCUCUUUGACUGUUUCCUAUUCGAAUUACUUAUCACCACCCCUAACCCCACCUUAAAAAAAAAUAACAUGACCCCUGUCUCAUUGAAACAUGAUUCCAUGCACAGCAAAAGGAAACCCGUGUAAUAAGGCCCAGAUGCUAUAGAUAAUACAAUUCAGCGCCCCAAAUUAUGGUUGAGUAAUUUGAAGGUCAUAGUCUAAACCUACAAAAGCUAGGAAAUUCCCCAUUGAGGCUUCCUUUCCUUCCUUAGCCCUUUGCUGGGUUCAAAAAGAGGAAAGAGACUAAAGCCUAUACCAGGAAGCAUUCCCUUCCAAUUUGGUUCUGACCCCAAGGCCUAGCCUCAGAGCUUAGGCCUAGAGGUUACUGAGUCCCUUUUAAAAGUAAAGAAAUGGAGGCAACAGAGAGCAAAACAACUUGCUAAAUUUUGGCAAAAACCCCCACCCAAUAUGGACCCAACUGGGCAGACCUGAAGUCACAACUCCUUUUUGAGUUGUUCUUACCCCUUGAUACAGUGAACAUUCUAGGAAAAUUUGCAGUAGGUAUUAUUUUUCACCUAUCCAUAAGAAUGCUUGUUACCAAGUAUUCCUAGGAAUGGGUAAUAUAGCACAGUGGAUAUUAUUGUUCCCAUUUACUGAGGAAACAGGCAUUUCAGUGACUUGCUCAAGGUCACGGAAAUAUGAGCUCAUAGGAUUUACCUGUAAGAGACAUUAGAGAUGAUCUAGCCUAAGCUCUUCAUUUUACAGACAGAAAAACCAAGUCUAAGAGAGAAGUGUUUUGCCCAAAAUCUCUAUGAUGAUAAAUAGCAGAGCCAGCAGUCAAACUUAAACCCAGGGGUCUUCCUCCUAAAGCCAUAAGGCUGUCUCAUAGAUAUGACAUCAUUCCCUGUGGUCUCCAAGCCACCAGAGAUCGAUAUUCCCAUGAGGCAAAUACUGUAUGUCAUUUGAAUAAAUGUAUGUUUCCAAAAUAUCUAGCAAAAGAAUUAUAUAUCAAUCUACAACUCAUCAAAUAAAAAUAUCAGCUAUAUAAGCUCUUACUUAGAGAUUGAGAUAGAUUUAUUAAAAACCUGGAAAAUGAGAUAAAGAACCCAAAUGCUUUAGUACUCCCUGCUGGGUUGGCAUAUUGUCGAAGGGAUGCAUUGGUCUAGAAUGGGAUUGGAGCUGUUGGAAGGGACCUUAAAAGUUAUCUAGUUCAAGAUUCUCUGGUGGUUAUGAAUAUGAGUGGCAGAAUGGUCUGGUGGAAAGAAAAUGGACCCGAGAGGUAGUAGUCCUGGGCCUAGAUUCUGAUUCUGCCACUAACUAGCUUUGUGAUCUCAGGCAAGUUAUUCUGUGCCUUAGUUUCCUCUGUUAAAUAGAUCAUAGAUCUAGAGCCAGAAAGGACCUCAGAGACCAUAUAGUCCAACUCCUCACUUUACAGACGAGGAAGUUGAGGCCUACAGAGGCCUCCACAGCCAGGGUCACAAGGGUAUAAACA